This is an RNA transcript of Brienomyrus brachyistius, 4787 nucleotides long. It is a transcript of the gene named putative protein MSS51 homolog, mitochondrial, with no coding region annotated. The record is from RefSeq and is a predicted model, not a curated record. The transcript is spliced from 5 exons. Lineage: Eukaryota; Metazoa; Chordata; Actinopteri; Osteoglossiformes; Mormyridae.
UUGAUAUUUUGGUAAUUACACUUAUUUCCCACUAGGUGGAGAUUCAUCCUGCCAUACAAGGGCAGUUUGUUUUACUGCCCCCUUCAUUUGGGAUGGGAGGGGGCAGCACCCAUGGCUAGAAGAAGAGUUACGAUCCCAACCGGUAUUGCUUCACCCCAGAAUAAUUGUGCCCCACCCCACAUGGCUAGAAAUCAGUGAGAAGGGAGGUGUUUAUGUAAAUGACUGUCGAGAAGGUUCCCCAAAGCCAUUCUUCCUGCACUCUGUACUACAAACCCGAUGUGGGUUAGCUGUCAAUCAACACUCCCAUCCAUCCUGCUGCAAAGAGAGCAAGGAACACUGAGAGCUGAGCUUUCUCAUCUGGAACAUUCCUGUCAAAAGAGCUACCCAGGAUGGCUGCUUCAGCACCAACACCAGCGGAAUCAUUCACCCCUGGACCAGAUGGAGUUUACAUGGACCGUCUAGGUUUCUACUCACUGGACUCUAAUGUCCCCGGCCUGUCCAAGGUCAUCCUCAGCAAGCUGAAGAUGAAGGACUACUCUGAGUACAGGGCUGCACUGGAGGGGAAGAAGAAGAGUCUCACCUUCCACUCCUACAAAGAGAUGUUCCAGAACAUGGAGGAGACCUUCAAAUUCUGCACAGGAUGCAGCAGGCUUCCAAGUCACCUGUCAGGUGACCAAGCUCUCAAACGCUGUGGGAAGUAAGUGAGGAGAGGCGUACAUGGAAUAGUGUUACCAUGGCAGUUGUCUUGUGUGUCUUAGGUACGUUGUUUUGUUUAUUUGGCAACACUAUAUGUUGGUCGCCUUUGUGUCACCUUUAGAAUGAGACUUACUAUUAGUCCUCAGUUGACUCUGCUGAAGAUAAAACAGGAAAAAUAAUAGUCAAUCUAAAGCAGACAAUGCUCUCCUGUAUCUCCUACAGCCUUUAAAAUGCAACUGUCACUUUCUGACCUCAAGAACUUACACAAUGGAAAAUUUAAAGGCUGACUGAUUCUCCCAGAAAUAUAAAUUGCUGUGUUGAUAGGUCCUUCCAGGCUUUCUGAAAACAAUGGCUUAGUGUUAUUGUCUGGUUUAUAAUACUUUAAUCCAUGUAUCUUCCAUUUGUUUGCCAUGUUCCCGGACACCCAAACAAACAUUUCAUCAUUCCCGCAGCUCGGUGAAAAACAGCCACGUGUUGACAGACAUGAGCCCAGGCAGAGAUGCAUUCCCUGAGGUGUGGGGCAGCCCAGGCCACCCCUCUCAUGUCACGUUGUGAUAACUCUUGUGCAUGCAGAAUGCUUUUUAGCUCCUUCUUAAUGACAAACUGCUAAGUGUCUCUCUUCAUGGGUGGAAUUGGUCGGCCUUAUGUCAUUUUUGUUUUGUUUACAUUACAUCACACUUUAGGGAUAAUGUAGGCUUAUUGUGGCUAUCUGCUUUUUAUCAUGUUGAAUGAAUGCCCAGUGUACCCCACGCUGAAAGUGAAGCUUCAUUCAGCAGUUUCAAGCACGCACACACACACACACACACACACACACUGCUUUCUGCUUCAGGGGCUUCUGAUCAUUUCUUCAGCUGAGAGGCCAGCUUUUAUUUCCGGCUGUUCCAGUGCCACUUAAAUGUCAUGUAUGCCACUGAGAGAGAGACGAAAUCCUUUCAAGUGUGUGCAUUUAUAUUACAAGGAUGGUAGGCUACAGAUACGCGGUCUGUGUUCAGCAUACAGAGGCUGGAGAGGGUCCCUUCUCUCAGGAGAGAGCUUACAGGUCUGUGAAAUCCCUAAGUUAAGACCCUUCACUUGCUGUUGCUGUUGUUCAGAACCAGUAUUCGUUUUUAAUGGCCUGGUACAGCCUGGCAGUCCCCAGGUUAAAAGCUUGUUUAUUAAAAAUACAAUGGAAUACACACACACACUACUUUGUGACUCUUGUGAAAACGUUGCGUGGCUUCUGCAGUUUCAGUACGAUGUACAGUACCGUAUGUAGGCACUUUUAUUUUUACUCUAUUAUUAUUACCUACUGUGUUAUUCUUUUUCCGACUUACCUACAAACUCACCUUAAAGACAUGGGGAACGGAUCUCAUUUGUAACCUGGGGUCUGUAUGUACUACGAAUUUGUCUGUAGUAUUGCUGCAUACAUUCUACGGCUGGGCGAUGUAUCGAGUCUAAGAUAUAUCAGUAUAUUUUCAUAUGGCACCUAGGAUGAGACAGUAUUGUUUAUGUCGAUAUAGUUUAUGCUGCUUUAAAAUUUUACUCAUAGAGCCACCAGGUUGCCUGUUUCUACUCUCCUUAAGAACACAAGCUGCCCCUCCCCCUCACUCACAAGUGCUGCAUGCAGUGACAGCAUGGAGACAGACGCAGACACCAGGCAAGCUAGCGAAGAGGAGCUGGCUGGUAAGAUAAUACAGGCCAGGGGUUUAUUUCUGAGCCAUUUCUUCAUACACAUGCACAGCUGUCUGUUAAUAAAAAUGCCCGUGUGACAUUGAGGACAUUUGGCUCUGACUUGGAACUGUCUUUUUGUUAUUAGUUUUUGGGGGGAAAUAUCAAGAGAUAUAUCGCAUAUCGCCAUUCAGCUAAAAAAUGUUGAGAUGAUUUUUUGGUCCAUGUCGCCUAGCCCUAAUACAUUCACAACAACAUAGGACACAAAUCAAGAAAAAUAUUAUAGGAAUAAAAUAUAUGCAGGGACACUGCAAAUCAGUACAGUACAGUACAGUCAGUUGUUGUGUGCAGGCCGGGACACUGCAAAUCAGUACAGUACAGUCAGUUGUUGUGUGCAGGCUGGGACACUGCAAAUCAGUACAGUACAGUCAGGUGUUGUGUGCAGGCUGGGACACUGCAAAUCAGAACAGUACAGUCAGUUGUUGUGUGCAGGCCGGGACACUGAAAGCCGGUGGCACGUCUGCGUCUGAAUGCUGCUGGGCAGCGUGACCAGCCUCGCCAAGCCUGCACGGCACUCACCGGCCUCCCCUUUGCUUCCUCGCUCGCCCCCUCUGCCUGUCUCUCCUCUCUCCCACGCUGGUGGUCUCACCCACCCCCACAUGCACUCCAGAGAUCACAGCUGCAUGCUGUCAGCGAGGGACCCGAGCUGUGACAGAUGGGACAGCCUGGUGACAUCUCACACCUGAGCAACUUAAGGGCUGUUGAGGUCAAAUUGUCAAAGUAGGAGUGGAAAGCUAACUUUGACCAACCAAAUUAUAUCAAAUGCGAAUAACCUGCCGCUCACUCUUGCCUGUUUUAGGGUCUUUUUGGUGCCAAAUGCAUUUGCGAAUUUCACUGGCUUCUUUUUUUUUUUUUUUGUAAAAGUGCUGGAUUUUGCAAACGGCACUUAGGAGGCCGGCUUCACGCGUGAGAGUCUGUUGUUUCUCCCCAGUCCGCGCUCUCCUGUGGGAAGAACUCCCAGCCCUGAGUGCCUACCAUGCACUCCUGAUUAGGUCAUGCACCAUGGCUCAGAUGAUCUCCAAGCAGCCAGAAAUGCCAAAGGAAGGGCAGACUGUACAGCCCCCGUGGGUACACACCAGCCCUGCUGUCUCCAUCAGUCCUGCAGCUGCACACGGCAGCAGAGAAGGUUACUGAAAUACCCUCUACGGUGGAUAUUUAAAGUAAAUUAGUCAAUAAAAUGGUUAUUUUACCUGGUGCUUUAACUCUGGGAGUUCAUAUAAAUGACAAGGGCAUCUAGCCUUUUCGCUACAUGAAAGACUUUAGCUACCAGCAAGGUCAUACGUCAUGGGUGGCUGGGAUGGAUACAGCUGUACUGUAGACGGUCCGUAGACAAUUCCAGGCAUAGGUUUACAGCACAAAAUAUUGGUUAAAAUGAGUGUUACCCUCCAAAGGGGAGAGGUGCUCUCCUCCAUACAGGAUAGGUGUUACCCUCCAAAGGGGAGAGGUGCUCUUCUCCAUACAGGAUAGGUGUUACCCUCCAAACGGGGGAGGUGCUCUCCUUCAUACAGGAUAGGUGUUACCCUCCAAAGGGGAGAGGUGCUCUCCUUCAUACAGGAUAGGUGUUACCCUCCAAAGGGGAGAGGUGCUCUCCUUCAUACAGGAUAGGUGUUACCCUCCAAAGGGGAGAGGUGCUCUCCUCCAUACAGGAUAGGUGUUACCCUCCAAAGGGGAGAGGUGCUCUUCUCCAUACAGGAUAGGUGUUACCCUCCAAAGGGGAGAGGUGCUCUUCUCCAUACAAGAUAGGUGUUACCCUCCAAAGGGGAGAGGUGCUCUCCUCCAUACAGGAUAGGUGUUACCCUCCAAACGGGGGAGGUGCUCUCCUUCAUACAGGAUAGGUGUUACCCUCUAAAGGGGAGAGGUGCUCUUCUCCAUACAGGAUAGGUGUUACCCUCUAAAGGGGAGAGGUGCUCUCCUUCAUACAGGAUAGGUGUUACCCUCCAAAGGGGAGAGGUGCUCUUCUCCAUACAAGAUAGGUGUUACCCUCCAAAGGGGAGAGGUGCUCUCCUCCAUACAGGAUAGGUGUUACCCUCCAAACGGGGGAGGUGCUCUCCUUCAUACAGGAUAGGUGUUACCCUCCAAAGGGGAGAGAUGCUCUCCUCCAUACAGGAUAGGUGUUACCCUCCAAAGGGGAGAGGUGUUACCCUUCAUACAGGAUAGGUGUUACCCUCUAAAGGGGAGAGGUGCUCUCCUUCAUACAGGAUAGGUGUUACCCUCCAAAGGGGAGAGGUGCUCUCCUUCAUACAGGAUAGGUGUUACCCUCCAAAGGGGAGAGGUGUUACCCUCCAAAGGGGAGAGGUGCUCUCCUCCAUACAGGAGAGGUGUUACCCUCCAAAGGGGAGAGGUGCUCUCCUUCAUACAGGAUAGGUGUUACCCUCCAAACGGGG